Molossus molossus (Pallas's mastiff bat) is the source of this 193-nucleotide small nuclear RNA. RefSeq annotates it as U2 spliceosomal RNA. The record is from RefSeq and is a predicted model, not a curated record. Lineage: Eukaryota; Metazoa; Chordata; Mammalia; Chiroptera; Molossidae. The transcript has a single exon.
AAAUAAUCUUGGACUUUCGGCUAAGAUCACAUGUAGUAUUUGCUCUUAACAGUUUGAUAUCUGAUAUUUUCUCUAUCUGAGGACAUUAUAUAAAAUGUAUUUUUGGAGCAGGGAGAUGAAAUAGGAGCUUGCUCCAGCUCCAUCCACUCCACGAUUCAACCAGUAUUGCAGUAUUGGGAAUGGAGCACCAACA